AUAUGGAAAACCAACAGUAAUCCAUGAAAAAAAUGGUUACAACCAGAGGCUGUAAACCAUGCUGAACAAAGCUGGAGCAGCAUACUCAUCAUGCUAUUCCCUUUUAGGGUUGGUCUUGGAGAUAAAAGGAGAGAUACUCCACAUGUUAGGUUGCAUGAGAAGAACUGCUGAUUAGAAAAAAGAACAGAAAAGAAGGAAGAAGCUCUGAGGAAAUUUGAAUCUGUACACCUCACCUCAACUUUAAGAUGCCUGGACUUCAACUCCAAGAAUGCCCCAGCCAUACAACAAGAAAGUGUUAAUUUGAGAUCAUUGCAAACAACAGAACUUUCAAUUCACAGGAAAUGGGAUUAAUUCUUGGAUACAGGUUUAACUGAGAUGGAUGUAUUUUUAUGCGUUUAAGUCAGUGUUCACUCCUGGCAACUGCCUAGACAAA
Crotalus tigris (Tiger rattlesnake) is the source of this 433-nucleotide long non-coding RNA. RefSeq lists it as uncharacterized. The record is from RefSeq and is a predicted model, not a curated record. NCBI's taxonomy places the organism in Eukaryota, Metazoa, Chordata, Lepidosauria, Squamata, Viperidae. The transcript has 3 exons.